AACGAACGCUGGCGGCAUGCCUAACACAUGCAAGUCGAACGAGACCUUCGGGUCUAGUGGCGCACGGGUGCGUAACGCGUGGGAACCUGCCCUUAGGUUCGGAAUAACUCCCCGAAAGGGGUGCUAAUACCGGAUAAUGUCUUCGGACCAAAGAUUUAUCGCCUUUGGAUGGGCCCGCGUUGGAUUAGCUAGUUGGUAGGGUAAAAGCCUACCAAGGCGACGAUCCAUAGCUGGUCUGAGAGGAUGAUCAGCCACACUGGGACUGAGACACGGCCCAGACUCCUACGGGAGGCAGCAGUGGGGAAUAUUGGACAAUGGGCGAAAGCCUGAUCCAGCAAUGCCGCGUGAGUGAUGAAGGCCUUAGGGUUGUAAAGCUAUUUUACCCGGGAUGAUAAUGACAUUACCGGGAGAAUAAGCUCCGGCUAACUCCGUG
Molecule: ribosomal RNA, 433 nt
Filed under: uncultured bacterium
Lineage: Bacteria
Description: partial 16S ribosomal RNA
Rfam family: Bacterial small subunit ribosomal RNA
Source: RNAcentral